RNAcentral lists this ribosomal RNA (746 nucleotides) under uncultured bacterium. RNAcentral's name for it is "bacterial SSU rRNA". It matches the Rfam family "Bacterial small subunit ribosomal RNA", at positions 1 to 790 of the family's 1533-position model. The record is from RNAcentral.
AGGAGUUUGAUCAUGGCUCAGAACGAACGCUGGCGGCAGGCCUAACACAUGCAAGUCGAAGGUGAAGCCACCCUCGGGUGGUAGAAACUGGCGCACGGGUGAGUAACGCGUGGGAAUUUACCUUGGGGUGGGGGAUAACCGCUGGAAACGGCGGCUAAUACCGCAUACGCCCUGCGGGGGAAAGAUUUAUCGCCCUGGGAGGAGCCCGCGUUGGAUUAGCUUGUUGGUGGGGUAAAGGCCCACCAAGGCGACGAUCCAUAGCUAGUCUGAGAGGAUGAUCAGCCACACUGGGACUGAGACACGGCCCAGACUCCUACGGGAGGCAGCAGUGGGGAAUAUUGGACAAUGGGCGAAAGCCUGAUCCAGCCAUGCCGCGUGAGUGAAGAAGGCCUUAGGGUUGUAAAGCUCUUUCACCCGUGAAGAUGAUGACUGUAGCGGGAGAAGAAGCCCCGGCUAACUCCGUGCCAGCAGCCGCGGUAAUACGGAGGGGGCUAGCGUUGUUCAGAAUUACUGGACGUAAAGGGCGCGUAGGCGGCCUGCCAAGUCAGGGGUGAAAGGCCCGGGCUCAACCCGGGAACUGCCCUUGAAACUGGCAAGCUAGAGUCCGAGAGAGGAUGGCGGAAUUCCCAGUGUAGAGGUGAAAUUCGUAGAUAUUGGGAAGAACACCGGUGGCGAAGGCGGCCAUCUGGCUCGGUACUGACGCUGAGGCGCGAAAGCGUGGGGAGCAACAGGAUUAGAUACCCUGG